RNAcentral lists this ribosomal RNA (484 nucleotides) under uncultured bacterium. Its description in RNAcentral is "partial 16S ribosomal RNA". It matches the Rfam family "Bacterial small subunit ribosomal RNA", at positions 30 to 507 of the family's 1533-position model. The record is from RNAcentral.
AUUGAACGCUGGCGGCAGGCCUAACACAUGCAAGUCGAGCGGCAGCGCGGGGUCAACCCUGGCGGCGAGCGGCGGACGGGUGAGUAAUUCAUCGGAAUGUGCCUUUUUGUGGGGGAUAACGUAGGGAAACUUACGCUAAUACCGCAUACGUCCUACGGGUGAAAGUGGGGGACCGCAAGGCCUCACGCCGCUAGAUGAGCCGAUAACCGAUUAGCUAGUUGGUGGGGUAAAGGCCCACCAAGGCGACGAUCGGUAGCUGGUCUGAGAGGAUGACCAGCCACACUGGAACUGAGACACGGCCCAGACUCCUACGGGAGGCAGCAGUGGGGAAUAUUGGACAAUGGGCGCAAGCCUGAUCCAGCAAUGCCGCGUGAGUGAAGAAGGCCUUCGGGUUGUAAAGCACUUUUGUCAGGGAAGAAACGCUAGGAGCUAAUAUCCUCGGGUAAUGACGGUACCGGAAGAAUAAGCACCGGCUAACUUCGUG